This 253-nucleotide ribosomal RNA is filed under the name uncultured bacterium. RNAcentral describes it as "partial 16S ribosomal RNA". It matches the Rfam family "Bacterial small subunit ribosomal RNA", at positions 524 to 776 of the family's 1533-position model. The record is from RNAcentral.
GACGGAGGGUGCGAGCGUUAUUCGGAAUCAUUGGGCGUAAAGAGCGUGUAGGCGGCCGGUUAAGUCAGGUGUGAAAGCCCGGGGCUCAACCUCGGAAGUGCACUUGAAACUGGUCGGCUUGAGUUCGGGAGAGGGAAGCGGAAUUCCUGGUGUAGAGGUGAAAUUCGUAGAUAUCAGGAGGAACACCGGUGGCGAAGGCGGCUUCCUGGACCGAAACUGACGAUGAGACGCGAAAGCGUGGGGAGCAAACAGG